Molecule: ribosomal RNA, 301 nt
Filed under: uncultured bacterium
Lineage: Bacteria
Description: partial 16S ribosomal RNA
Rfam family: Bacterial small subunit ribosomal RNA
Source: RNAcentral
CAGCAGCCGCGGUAAUACGUAGGGUGCAAGCGUUAAUCGGAAUUACUGGGCGUAAAGCGUGCGCAGGCGGUUUGUUAAGACAGAUGUGAAAUCCCCGGGCUCAACCUGGGAACUGCAUUUGUGACUGGCAAGCUAGAGUGUGGCAGAGGGGGGUGGAAUUCCGCGUGUAGCAGUGAAAUGCGUAGAUAUGCGGAGGAACACCGAUGGCGAAGGCAGCCCCCUGGGCCAACACUGACGCUCAUGCACGAAAGUGUGGGGAGCAAACAGGAUUAGAUACCCGCGUAGUCCCUGUCUCUUAUAC